GGGCGAUGCUGGGCGCCAUGGUGUAGUCGGAGAGAAAGGACCAAAUGGACUUCCUGGGCUCCAGGGAAAAGCUGGUGCAAAGGGAUCUAAAGGAGAAGUUGGAGACCCAGGGAAGACUGGUGAGACGGGA
Molecule: long non-coding RNA, 130 nt
Organism: Boleophthalmus pectinirostris (great blue-spotted mudskipper)
Lineage: Eukaryota; Metazoa; Chordata; Actinopteri; Gobiiformes; Gobiidae
Exons: 3
Source: RefSeq, a predicted model, not a curated record